RNAcentral lists this long non-coding RNA (366 nucleotides) under Olea europaea subsp. europaea. The record is from RNAcentral. Lineage: Eukaryota; Viridiplantae; Streptophyta; Magnoliopsida; Lamiales; Oleaceae.
UAUGGAACUACUGCCUGAAAAAUUGCAAAUCCCCCAGAUCACCGCAUACGAAGGGGAUGGCGAUCCCCUCAGCCACCUUGACAAAUACACCUCGUGGAUGGAACUACAAGAGGCAAGCAACGCAAUCAUGUGUCGGGCAUUCCCCUUGACUCUAGGAGACAAAGCUCAAAGAUGGUUUAAGAGACUGCACGAGAGGUCGGUAAAGAAUUGGAAUGAUUUGGCCACGGCGUUCUUGGCCUAGUUCAUGGGCUCCAAGGCCAGAACCAUGCCAAAGGAACGACUAGUGAGCAUCAAGCAGGGAAGAAGUGAGUCUCUCAAAAGCUAUCUGAGCAGAUUCAACAAGCAAUCCAUGGAAGUGGAAAAAAU